RNAcentral lists this long non-coding RNA (559 nucleotides) under Homo sapiens (human). RNAcentral's name for it is "non-protein coding LINC02471:9". Lineage: Eukaryota; Metazoa; Chordata; Mammalia; Primates; Hominidae. The record is from RNAcentral.
UUAUAGCGAAGGACUCUCGCCAUGUUGCCCAGACUCAUCUCAAACUACUGGACCCAGACAAUCCUCACACUUUGGCCUCCCAAAAUGCUGAGAUUACAGCUUACCUAAAGUUAACAUCUGAUGACAUGAUCGCAACUCCAUAUCCUGAGUUGAUUUCAACCUAUGAUGUUGGAAUUUUCCACAUGGAGAUAAACACUGGGAAGCAGCUAAUCAUUCUCUCUGGAUUUAUAAGGAACAAAUGGAUAAGUGAAACUUGAAAACAAUGGCCAAAGUACUAAGAACUAAUGUUUCUUCAACAAAACAAAUACUUUUACUUUAAGAACAGAAGAUAAAAGGCCAAAGUUGUAAUAUAAGACAAAUUACGGAAAUAUACACUUAUACAUAUAAAACCACUCCUCUUUUUAAAAAAUCAUGCUUUUUAAGAAGAAUCUUCUCAUAUCAGUGAGAAAGAAAGUUAUCUUAACAAACAAAAAGUAUUUUGAAAAAAAGCGUUCACAUGUAUAAGAAAGAAAAUGAACAAAUAAAUAGGAAAAAAGAUCUCUGGUUCAACCAUAUCAAA